This is a small nucleolar RNA of Eutrema salsugineum, 87 nucleotides long. It matches the Rfam family "small nucleolar RNA snoR114". The record is from Rfam. NCBI's taxonomy places the organism in Eukaryota, Viridiplantae, Streptophyta, Magnoliopsida, Brassicales, Brassicaceae.
GAGCGGUGAGGAUUUGGCUUUAGCGAUGGUUGGGUCCUUCGCACUACUCUGAUAUCUCGGAUGUGAUAUAGCCCUUUGUCUGAGCUC